AUCAAAUACACAAAUACACAAAACUGUAAAAGUGAGUAAAAAAAGAAGCUAAAGAAUAGAAACGGGAUGGAACGAAAUUGCAAUUUGACAAACCUCAACUAGAGAAUGGAUCAUGUUUGAUGAGGGAACAUGAGAAUCGGAAUCGCAUAUGUUCUUCUUCGUCGCAGAAUUCCAUCUUUUGUCACAUAAUUUGAAUCGAAAUCAAAGGGGAACAACAUAUUUGAGUGUAUGAAUUANNNNNNNNNNNNNNNNNNNNNNNNNNNNNNNNUGAAAGACUGAAUGAGGGUUUGAGUGUACGAGAGACUGAAUCGAAAAGGGGGGAAACGUGUUUGAGUGUAUAAGAAACUGAAUCGAGAAUUUUAAGGUAUGAAGAAGUUGAAUCCUGGGAGGAGGUUUAAGGGCAUGAAGAAAUUGAAUCCAGGUCAGUUUGAGAGCAUGAAGGAAUUAAAUCUUGGUUUUUGAAUGUGUGCAGAGAUUGCUACAAGGGUUUCAAAUUUGUUUGUUAAUUUGAGAUUAUUUCUCAAUAAGUUAAAUUUUCGUGAGGGUAUUAAAGUGGAAAAUAAAAUAAUAAAAAUAAUAUAUCACACCUAUUUUAGUGAUUUGUAAACAAAAAAAAAAACAUUUGUGUCGGAUCUGCUAUCGCUAAUAA
This 649-nucleotide long non-coding RNA is filed under the name Trifolium pratense (red clover). Its description in RNAcentral is "long non-coding RNA (TPRA_LNC010023)". Lineage: Eukaryota; Viridiplantae; Streptophyta; Magnoliopsida; Fabales; Fabaceae. The record is from RNAcentral.